GGCAGGUCCGAAGGUAGUGGGUUAUCUCAAUUGACUGUUCACAGUCAGUCAUAGAUAGACUUCCUGGUCCUACUCUUUCCCCCUUUCUCACUAUUGCACUUGACUUGUCUAAA
Molecule: unclassified non-coding RNA, 113 nt
Organism: Cercocebus atys (sooty mangabey)
Lineage: Eukaryota; Metazoa; Chordata; Mammalia; Primates; Cercopithecidae
Rfam family: Y RNA
About the family: Y RNAs are components of the Ro ribonucleoprotein particle (Ro RNP), in association with Ro60 and La proteins. The Y RNAs and Ro60 and La proteins are well conserved, but the function of the Ro RNP is not known.
Source: Ensembl